This 433-nucleotide ribosomal RNA is filed under the name uncultured bacterium. Its description in RNAcentral is "partial 16S ribosomal RNA". It matches the Rfam family "Bacterial small subunit ribosomal RNA", at positions 29 to 507 of the family's 1533-position model. The record is from RNAcentral.
AACGAACGCUGGCGGCAUGCCUAACACAUGCAAGUCGAACGAGACCUUCGGGUCUAGUGGCGCACGGGUGCGUAACGCGUGGGAACCUGCCCUUAGGUUCGGAAUAACUCCCCGAAAGGGGUGCUAAUACCGGAUAAUGUCUUCGGACCAAAGAUUUGGCGCCGUUGGAUGGGCCCGAUUUGGAUUCGCUAGUUGGUAGGGUAAAAGCCUACCAAGGCGACGAUCCAUAGCUGGUCUGAGAGGGUGAUCAGUCACAUUGGAACUGAGACACGGUCCAAACUCCUACGGGAGGCAGCAGUGGGGAAUAUUGCACAAUGGAGGGAAGUCUGAUCCAGCGACGCCGCGUGAGCGAUGAAGGCAUUAGUUUCGUAAAGCUCUGUUCUAUGGGAAGAAAAGGACUGUACCAUAGGAGAAAGCCCCGGCUAACUCCGUG